GUGCUUAAUGUAGCUCAGUGGUAGAGGACUUGCCUAGUAUGUGUGAGGCCCUGGGUUCCAUCCCAGCAGCACA
This 73-nucleotide transfer RNA is filed under the name Marmota monax (woodchuck). RNAcentral describes it as "tRNA.Thr". The record is from RNAcentral. Lineage: Eukaryota; Metazoa; Chordata; Mammalia; Rodentia; Sciuridae.